GAUGAACGCUGGCGGCGUGCCUAAUACAUGCAAGUCGAGCGAACGGACGAGAAGCUUGCUUCUCUGAUGUUAGCGGCGGACGGGUGAGUAACACGUGGAUAACCUACCUAUAAGACUGGGAUAACUUCGGGAAACCGGAGCUAAUACCGGAUAAUAUUUUGAACCGCAUGGUUCAAAAGUGAAAGACGGUCUUGCUGUCCCUUAUAGAUGGAUCCGCGCUGCAUUAGCUAGUUGGUAAGGUAACGGCUUACCAAGGCAACGAUGCAUAGCCGACCUGAGAGGGUGAUCGGCCCCACUGGAACUGAGACAAGGUCCAGACUCCUACGGGAGGCAGCAGUAGGGAAUCUUCCGCAGUGGGCGAAAGCCUGACGGAGCAACGCCGCGUGAGUGAUGAAGGUCUUCGGAUCGUAAAACUCUGUUAGUAGGGAAGAACAUAUGUGUAAGUAACUGUGCACAUCUUGACGGUACCUAAUCAGAAAGCCACGGCUAACUACGUG
RNAcentral lists this ribosomal RNA (497 nucleotides) under uncultured bacterium. Its description in RNAcentral is "partial 16S ribosomal RNA". It matches the Rfam family "Bacterial small subunit ribosomal RNA", at positions 28 to 507 of the family's 1533-position model. The record is from RNAcentral.